Molecule: ribosomal RNA, 424 nt
Filed under: uncultured bacterium
Lineage: Bacteria
Description: partial 16S ribosomal RNA
Rfam family: Bacterial small subunit ribosomal RNA
Source: RNAcentral
AAUUUUGGACAAUGGGGGCAACCCUGAUCCAGCCAUCCCGCGUGUGCGAUGAAGGCCUUCGGGUUGUAAAGCACUUUUGGCAGGGAAGAAACGGCGUCGGAUAAUACCUGGCGCAACUGACGGUACCUGCAGAAUAAGCACCGGCUAACUACGUGCCAGCAGCCGCGGUAAUACGUAGGGUGCAAGCGUUAAUCGGAAUUACUGGGCGUAAAGCGUGCGCAGGCGGUUCGGAAAGAAAGGUGUGAAAUCCCAGGGCUUAACCUUGGAACUGCACUUUUAACUCCCGAGCUAGAGUAUGUCAGAGGGGGGUAGAAUUCCACGUGUAGCAGUGAAAUGCGUAGAGAUGUGGAGGAAUACCGAUGGCGAAGGCAGCCCCCUGGGAUAAUACUGACGCUCAUGCACGAAAGCGUGGGGAGCAAACAGG